AACUUAUGCAGGGACAGAGGGAGAGUAACAGAGAUGAACUGUUAAGAACAGCACUGAAUGAGCCCUGAGGAAAGUUAGUGUUGUUUCAAUUUUUCUUUUUCUUUCUCACUACACAAAUUAGUAAUAACAAUUUCAUUUUAAUUAGCACUCAAUUAAGAUAAUUUUUCCCAAGUCAAGACUGUCAUGCCUAUGCUGGUAAUUAGUAAGUGAUCCCUGUAUCUUUAUCUCAACCUUCCAUUUUUCCCUAUUUUUUUCCCAGCCCCACUGAGCGAGUGGCUGUGUGAGUCUGGCUGCUACCCAGAGCUAAUCCACAACAAGAUGUUACUGCUUUAAACCCAGUGAGGUAAGGUACAUUCAAAACAGCUACAGUUUAGUCUUUUUUAACUUUGGAAGAAAUAGAAGAAGCAUCUUCCCCCAGAAACAUCUAAUUGGUAAAAGUCUCAUACAAAUUAAUAAUACUGAAGAAUGCUCAUUGAAAGAUGCCAUUGCAGAUGCUACACAUGCAGAAUGCAAGACUACCAGACUAGAUUUUCUUCUAGAAGGCAUUCUUUCUCAGACCCAAAGUAGCGCUGAUCCCAAGAUAACACGUUCUGCCUCACCAGAAAACUUGUUUCUUUAGCAGGUACUCAAAUGCCAUAGGAAUGAACUCUAAGUAUCAUUUAUUUAGUCUUAACUUUCUGGAAAAGAGUACAGAGUAAGUAUUAGACUGAUCAUACAUGUUCAGUGUAACACAGUUCAGUUUUAUUUAAGUAUUACACAUACUAGUUAAGUUUAUCUGACAUAUUAAAUUGCAGGCCUAGAUUAAACUUCUUAUUAUGAAAUAAUGUCAAGCAAAUACAGUUACACGUUAAUACUCUACUAAUUUUUAUAAAUUCAUUAAGGUCUCACUUCACUUACAAAAAAAUUAGAUUUAUU
This 915-nucleotide long non-coding RNA is filed under the name Numida meleagris (helmeted guineafowl). Its description in RNAcentral is "lncRNA (ENSNMEG00000019122.1)". Lineage: Eukaryota; Metazoa; Chordata; Aves; Galliformes; Numididae. The record is from RNAcentral.